CAAGGUUCUCAGGGCGGGGUGAAAGUCCCCACCGGCGGUGAUGGUGGCUUACUACACGUUUGUCAUCUAAGCCCGCGAGCGCUCAAGAUUGUUGUUUUUUUUAUUGCAGCUUCUUGAGGUCAGCAGAUUCGGUGAAAAGCCGAAGCCGACGGUGAUAGUCCGGAUGAAAGAGAACGGCA
Molecule: non-coding RNA, 179 nt
Filed under: Halomonas sp.
Lineage: Bacteria; Pseudomonadati; Pseudomonadota; Gammaproteobacteria; Oceanospirillales; Halomonadaceae
Description: FMN sequence
Rfam family: FMN riboswitch aptamer (RFN element)
About the family: The RFN element is a highly conserved domain that is found frequently in the 5'-untranslated regions of prokaryotic mRNAs that encode for flavin mononucleotide (FMN) biosynthesis and transport proteins. This element is a metabolite-dependent riboswitch that directly binds FMN in the absence of proteins.
Source: RNAcentral